This 942-nucleotide long non-coding RNA is filed under the name Vigna radiata. Its description in RNAcentral is "long non-coding RNA (VRAD_LNC008434)". The record is from RNAcentral. Lineage: Eukaryota; Viridiplantae; Streptophyta; Magnoliopsida; Fabales; Fabaceae.
GGCGUAAUUCGGUCCAAAUUGACAUAUGAAAAUAACUGUUUUUCAACCUUCAUCAGAUGUAUGCAUGAUUUCAAUCCAAAUUAGUUCACAUAAUCAAUCUUUUUUUCAACAGAUGCUUUGUUCAUGAAUGAUCAAUCAACUAACAUAGAUGCAAACAUGGAUUUUAAAAAUUCUCACCAAGCAAGUGUUUCACUCAAUCACUCAAGUGUUUAGGUGGUCACUCUACUCUCUACUGUUCACAUGUCACAUAAAACAAUAUUGUCAUUCAUCUAAAACAAUCAACAUCUUUCACAUGCAUAUGUCAUCACAAGGACUUUUUCCAAGGCUUGUGUUGUGGGUGGGCUAACUAGAAAAUUGGUUUUUUUGAAAUACAAAAUCCUUGAGUUAAGAGAGUUUAAAUCAUUAUUCAAAGUUCAAGCACACUCUCUUUUUAACCAAUCUCACUCAUUCCCAACUUUUCCCUUUUUACAUGGAGUUCUUUUUAACAUGCAUAAACUCUUUUCUUCUUUUCUUUUCUUUUUCACAUGCACUUUUCUUUUUCAUCUUUUGAACUCAAUGCUUUUCUUUUUCUUUUCUUUUGCCUUUCACUUUCCCCAUUCAACCCCAAACUACAACCUUUUGAAUACAUUGCAAAAUGUAGUGAAUCAAUUGGCUAGAAGAAACUAUGGAUGAAUGGAGUUGUUGGGGUUUACAAUUUCAUCUUAUCCACCCUUUUAUAUCUACUCUUCUUAUUUAAUUCGCUUAUUUAUCAUAUUGUCAUGCAAACUUUCUUGGUCUACCCUAAACCCAAUCUCUUGGCGAAAAUAGCCUAUUACUAAUUACUAACUUGCUAUCUCUAACCUCCCCUAGUAACUAGCAAUGCAUGAUAAACGGAAGCAAAAUACAAUUGAUCGUCCUACCCCUAUCUCUAGGCGGUAUUAGCUUAAUCAAGGAAUUCCCCCU